GAUGAACGCUGGCGGCGUGCCUAAUACAUGCAAGUCGAGCGAACGGACGAGACGCUUGCUUCUCUGAUGUUAGCGGCGGACGGGUGAGUAACACGUGGAUAACCUACCUAUAAGACUGGGAUAACUUCGGGAAACCGGAGCUAAUACCGGAUAAUAUUUUGAACCGCAUGGUUCAAAAGUGAGAGACGGUCUUGCUGUCACUUAUAGCUGGAUCCGCGCUGCAUUAGCUAGUUGGUAAGGUACCGGCUUACCAAGGCAACGAUGCAUAGCCGACCUGAGAGGGUGAUCGGCCACACUGGAACUGAGACACGGUCCAGACUCCUACGGGAGGCAGCAGUAGGGAAGCGUGCGAAAUGGGCGAAAGCCUGAAGGAGCAACGCAGCGUGAGUGAUGAAGGGCCUCGGAUCGUAAAACGCUGUUAGUAGGGAAGAACAUAUGUGUAAGUAACUGUGCAUAUCUUGACGGUACCGAAUCAGAAAGCCACGGCUAACUACGU
RNAcentral lists this ribosomal RNA (496 nucleotides) under uncultured bacterium. Its description in RNAcentral is "partial 16S ribosomal RNA". It matches the Rfam family "Bacterial small subunit ribosomal RNA", at positions 28 to 506 of the family's 1533-position model. The record is from RNAcentral.